Molecule: ribosomal RNA, 488 nt
Filed under: uncultured bacterium
Lineage: Bacteria
Description: partial 16S ribosomal RNA
Rfam family: Bacterial small subunit ribosomal RNA
Source: RNAcentral
GAUGAACGCUAGCUACAGGCUUAACACAUGCAAGUCGCGGGGCAGCAUGGGGGUUGCUUGCAAUCCCCGAUGGCGACCGGCGCACGGGUGAGUAACGCGUAUCCAACCUGCCCUUCACCACGGGAUAACCCGGCGAAAGUCGGACUAAUACCGUAUGUUGUCCAUUGACGGCAUCCGAUUUGGACGAAAGGCUUGGCGGUGAGGGAUGGGGAUGCGUCCGAUUAGCCAGACGGCGGGGUAACGGCCCACCGUGGCUACGAUCGGUAGGGGUUCUGAGAGGAAGGUCCCCCACACUGGAACUGAGACACGGUCCAGACUCCUACGGGAGGCAGCAGUGAGGAAUAUUGGUCAAUGGGCGUAAGCCUGAACCAGCCAAGUAGCGUGCAGGAUGACGGCCCUAUGGGUUGUAAACUGCUUUUAUGCGGGGAUAAAGUGGCCCACGUGUGGGCUUGUGCAGGGACCGCAUGAAUAAGGACCGGCUAAUUCCG